RNAcentral lists this ribosomal RNA (484 nucleotides) under uncultured bacterium. RNAcentral describes it as "partial 16S ribosomal RNA". It matches the Rfam family "Bacterial small subunit ribosomal RNA", at positions 29 to 507 of the family's 1533-position model. The record is from RNAcentral.
AUUGAACGCUGGCGGCAUGCUUUACACAUGCAAGUCGAACGGAAGCGCGGGCUUCGGCCUGGCGGCGAGUGGCGAACGGGCGAGUAAUGAAUCGGAACGUGACCUGUCGUGGGGGAUAGCACGGCGUAAGGAGGCUUAAUCUAGCACACGACAUGAGGGUGAACGCCGGGGUUCGAAAGGGAACGCGGUAUUUGCGGGGACGAAGCCGCAUUAGCUAGUUGGUGAGGUAAAGGCUUACCAAGGCGACGAUCCGUAGCUGGUCUGAGAGGACGACCAGCCACACUGGGACUGAGACACGGCCCAGACUCCUACGGGAGGCAGCAGUAGGGAAUCUUGGACAAUGGGGGCAACCCUGAUCCAGCCAUGCCGCGUGCGGGAAGAAGGCCUUCGGGUUGUAAACCGCUGUUGUUCGGGAAGAAAUCCUCUGGGCUAAUACCCCGGGAGGAUGACGGUACCGGAAGAGUAAGCACCGGCUAACUACGUG